This 449-nucleotide ribosomal RNA is filed under the name uncultured bacterium. Its description in RNAcentral is "bacterial SSU rRNA". It matches the Rfam family "Bacterial small subunit ribosomal RNA", at positions 330 to 793 of the family's 1533-position model. The record is from RNAcentral.
CCCAGACUCCUACGGGAGGCAGCAGUGGGGGAUAUUGGACAAUGGGGGAAACCCUGAUCCAGCGACGCCGCGUGAGUGAAGAAGUAUUUCGGUAUGUAAAGCUCUGUCAGCAGGGAAGAAAGAAAUGACGGUACCUGACCAAGAAGCCCCGGCUAACUACGUGCCAGCAGCCGCGGUAAUACGUAGGGGGCAAGCGUUAUCCGGAAUUACUGGGUGUAAAGGGAGCGUAGACGGUGAUGCAAGUCUGGAGUGAAAGGCGGGGGCCCAACCCCCGGACUGCUCUGGAAACUGUAAAGCUGGAGUGCAGGAGAGGUAAGCGGAAUUCCUAGUGUAGCGGUGAAAUGCGUAGAUAUUAGGAGGAACACCAGUGGCGAAGGCGGCUUACUGGACUGCAACUGACGUUGAGGCUCGAAAGCGUGGGGAGCAAACAGGAUUAGAUACCCCGGUAC